UGCCCCCUGGCGAUGGGCAAAGAGACAUCUUGGUGGUGUUCUUGUAUCAGUCAGGGGCAGAGCAGACGGCACUCCUGUGUUUAUCCUAGCUUGAUGCCUGGCCUGGUAGCCAAAGCUGUCUUAUACCUAGGACUCAUAA
This is a small nucleolar RNA of Psammomys obesus (fat sand rat), 139 nucleotides long. RefSeq annotates it as small nucleolar RNA SNORA48. The transcript has a single exon. The record is from RefSeq and is a predicted model, not a curated record. NCBI's taxonomy places the organism in Eukaryota, Metazoa, Chordata, Mammalia, Rodentia, Muridae.